AUAAAGGCUCACACUCCAUAGAACUAAACCUUUGACUAAGUCCUAAAAACAUACAAGCGGUUCACCUUUCAAGUGCUGCACAAACAUUAACUUAUGCUUGAACACCCCACUCUGGUAUCUCAGUUGUAACACUCCUGAUAUUAAGAUGGGAAAUAGGAGUUAAGCAAUUUGCUCAAAGGCAUGAAGUGAAUCAUUGGCAGAGCAAAAUAGAAACAAAAAAAUCAGAACUUUGAAGUUCUUGCUCACAGCCUUGUUUGCACUCAGAUUGUGCAACUACACCAUGUCAGACCUACUGCUAGAACUGGCCGUAGAAAUUUUACCCCUUUCUCCAGGGACCUUUCUGGAAUUAUCUUGAAUUUGCAGAUUCCUGACAUCCUCAGUCUUGAUGAUCAUCAUAAAUAUCUAUGUUCAGAUCUAAGCCACAGCUACUCACAACAACUGGACUAGUGGGGCUACAGUUUCCUGCAACAUUACAAAACCCAACACCUUGGAAUGGCUGGAGUAUGGGAGAUCCAGGCUGCUGUGACAUUUUCUUCCCAGUGUCUUCAGCAGAAACUCCAAUGUAUCCUGAUAUGGACCCUAUGAAAAAAAAACAGAGACUCAAGCUGCACUAAAGAAUACCAAAAGUAGAAGAAAACAACAAAUACACAUCAGCAAAGAUGGCCCAUUUAUUGAGGUGUAAUGAACUAUAAUAUUUUUGGAAUGCAUCAUAAAAAAUAUGUAAUCUCCAAUAUCUUAAAAUGAUAUGCUUCAGAAAAUGCACGAGUGCUUAAAAAAGAAUAAACUGAAGAAAAUCUGUAAAAUUAUGCUAGUUACAGCUCACAUAUACAAAUGAGAUUAUAACAUGAGUAAUUUGGUUACAGGAAUCAAAGCUAUUCCACACAAAAGGCUUUAAAUAUUUUUCCUUAAACAGUUGUGAUGCCUGUCUGCUUUCCCAGCUUUGUUAUAUUUCUUCUUUAGCUUUGCCACUUCAACUCAAAAGCUGCAAUAAGACUUGGCGUGACAUAACAUUCAAGUGAUAUGGACAAACAUGCACUUACAGCAUCUUCAAAAGGGGAAGGAAAGCUAAUGCUUCCAAACAGGCAGCAGGUGUUAUGCUGUUACAUGUGCAGGAUCCUAUAGCGAUACAAGGGAGCUAAAUUGUACCAACCUUAAUCUUGGAUGAAGGAGCUUUGAAUUCGGAGUCAUUUUACUACACUUGUAUCCUGACAGGCUCAUGCACAGAUGACAGUUACAGAGUAACAGCUGCUUCCGGGCUGCCAGCAGAAACUCCCCCUCCCUUCUCAAAGCUGCUACAAGCAGCUUUAACUCAAAGUCAGGUGUUGCUCUCUCAACCCCGCCGCUCCCUGCAUGUAAACUGUGCAGGUGUAUUUGUUA
Molecule: long non-coding RNA, 1377 nt
Organism: Gavialis gangeticus (Gharial)
Lineage: Eukaryota; Metazoa; Chordata; Crocodylia; Gavialidae
Exons: 3
Source: RefSeq, a predicted model, not a curated record